This 253-nucleotide ribosomal RNA is filed under the name uncultured bacterium. RNAcentral's name for it is "partial 16S ribosomal RNA". It matches the Rfam family "Bacterial small subunit ribosomal RNA", at positions 524 to 776 of the family's 1533-position model. The record is from RNAcentral.
UACGUAGGUGACCAGCGUUGUCCGGAUUUACUGGGCGUAAAGAGCGCGCAGGCGGUCGUUCAAGUCGAGUGUGAAAGCCCCCGGCUCAACUGGGGAGGGUCAUUCGAUACUGAUCGACUCGAAGGCAGGAGAGGGAAGCGGAAUUCCCGGUGUAGUGGUGAAAUGCGUAGAUAUCUGGAGGAACACCGGUGGCGAAGGCGGCAUCCUGGACCGGUAUUGACGCUGAGGCGCGAAAGCCAGGGGAGCAAACGGG